GCUGACUGCCAGUGGGGAAGGAUCUCUUUCUGGAGAUCACUCUUUUGGAGUUUUUCCUCUGAGCCUUGGAUGUGGGCCAUUAACACUCUAAACAACAGGGAUUCAUGUGCAGGUAUCUGAGGAACUCUCCAGUGUGAUUUAUAGCAUAAGAAAGUCCAUACUAUGUCUGAACAAAUAUCUCCCAAGUGCCUGUGUGUUGUCUUCAGUAGUGGAUGAUCAGGGAAAGUACAUUAACAAAGAGCAUACACUUCUAACUUCUGAGUCUGAGAACUAGUUUUUCUGCAAUAUCUUUGAUAGGAUCCCAAUUUCUGAAAUCUAUUAGUGAUCUAUGGGAAAUGCCUCAAGAAGAAAAGAAAACAUAACAAGAAGUUGCCAUUAUCUAAGUUUAGACAUUUCAGCAUCAAGCAACACUCAUUCUACAGCAUAUUAAUUGUCGGAAUAAACCUGGGAUGCUGUUAUGUUUACACUUCCUACCCAGCAGUACUCGCCAUGUAGAUAUGUUCCUCCUGUUCAGUUACACAGACGCAGAGAAUGUGCCGUAGUUGAAUUCAGCUGUUCAAUAGCCAAAGAGGAGUUGUGGAAUUACAAGGACUUUUGAAACUUGAUACUUCACAUGUAUUGUAAUAUGUAAUGUACUUUUGGGACACAGAUACAAAUGCUAACAUUAAAUAGGUCAAAAAAAGCAUUACUUUAUUUGCAGAUGUUUAUGUAAUUUUGAGAUAUAAUUUCUAUUCCAACUAAAAUUAAUACUGUCUAUGGUUCUUUCAAAACAUUCAGACUAUCAACGAAUUGGCUUGCACAGAAAAAAAUAUCUGAAGGACACAUUAACCUGUAGAGUUGCUCCAUAUCCUACUCACCUACCAGAGAGCUUGCUCUGUUUUAUAAUUGUUCUCAUGUGUAGCAGAACUUUUUCAAUCCGAAUUCUACUUUCAGUCAACUGGGAAGUAGUAUAUAUGUGCAUCACAUUGGCUUAUGCAUGUAUUUACUUUUACUUAUACUCUGGUGUAGAGGUUGCGAUUUAUUAUCUUAAUUAAAAAAAAUGCAAUAUAUGAUUCUUUGGUAGACUUUUAAGUUUCUUUUCCCUUCCUGUUCUAAGUAUAAGAUGUAAAUAUGUUGAGGAUGGUGUGUGUGACAUAUUAAUUUUAUCAGUUUUCUCUAUGAGGUUAGAAAAUUAUGUCAUUAUCGAGUUUUGUGUAAACAAAGCUAAUUUUCUCAUCUUCUGGACAGAAUUUUUUCAUGUCUGCUAUGCAUAUUAUAGAGGAAGGGAAAUAAAUGUUCUUAAUCACCUUAAAAAGUGAUUUUGUCCUGACAAUUUUUUUAUAUUUCUGUGUCUUAUAUGUACUUCAUCUGUAAAUUCUUCCAAUAAUACAUUAAAUUCUUACAGGAG
Gallus gallus (chicken) is the source of this 1387-nucleotide long non-coding RNA. Lineage: Eukaryota; Metazoa; Chordata; Aves; Galliformes; Phasianidae. The record is from Ensembl.